This 2178-nucleotide long non-coding RNA is filed under the name Aotus nancymaae (Ma's night monkey). RNAcentral describes it as "lncRNA (ENSANAG00000039204.1)". Lineage: Eukaryota; Metazoa; Chordata; Mammalia; Primates; Aotidae. The record is from RNAcentral.
AGAGUAUUGGGUUCCAGCCCUUAACCUCCUUUAAGAUUCAGGAGUGCAGCCCUGCUGCUUCCUUCCUUUCCUAGACGCAGGGGUCCCCACCCAGGAUGCCCUCCUCCUCAGGACCCAGGAGUCCCAGAUAGCAGGUCCCUCCCCCCCCCACCCGGGAUAGAGGAGUUGAGGCCCUCAGCCCCUGUCUCUCACACCAGGGUUCUGGGUCCCCGGCUUCCUCCUCCCUCAGAAUAAGGUGUCCGGGUCUGCAGCCCUUGCCUCUGCAGCCCCUGGGCUCCAGAAGUUAUGACCCAAGCCUACUCCUAUCCCACCUCCGUCGGGCCCUUUCCCUGCUGAACUCACUCACAGGGACAGCCUCCUGACCUCCACUCUGAGCCUGCCCUCUGUGGGGCCCCUGCCCUCCCCCACCUCCAUCCAGGUCCCCAUCCCGGCCUUGGCAAUGACCCUGGCAGCUUCCUCCCAGCGUUCCCAAUUCAUUCGCUCCAAGUUCCGAUCUGUCCUCCAGCUUCGGAUCCACAGACGGAAUCAGGAGCAGAGUAAGUGUGGGCCCUUAAAGGGAGGGGAUGGUGAUCCCCCUUCACAGGGGUAUCCUGGAAUACAGCUGCCACAUAUCCCUCAUUGGUUACUGCAGCUCAGUCUCUAUCCUCCAGGAGAAACCAAAACCCCGUCCAGUCCUUUCCCAAAGAUCCAGGGGGCCAGGUCCCUGGCCACCCCCACCCCUAGGAGUUCUGCUUCCCGAUUCUCUACCCCAGUGAGACGCAUGAGUUUGGAUCCUGCUUCCUUAGAGAAGACAGGCAUCCCAGUCUCCACAUUUGGUAUACAUGAGAAGCUGAGAUGGAGUCUCACUCUGUCACCAGGCUGGAGUACAGUGGCUUGAUCUCAGCGCACUGCAACCUCCACUUCUCAGGUUCAAGUGAUUAUCCUGCCUCAGCCUCCUCCUGAGGAGCUGGGAUUACAGGCGCCUGCCACCACACCUGGCUAAUUUUCAUAUUUUUAGUAGAGACGGGUUUUCACCAUGUUGGCCAGACUGGUCUUGAACUCCUGACCACAAGUGAUUCACCCGCCUCAGACUCCCAAAGUGCUGGGAUUACAGGCAUGAGCCACCGUGCCCAGCCUGGAUGUAGCUUUCAGCUUCUCUCUCCAAUAACCAGGCAUGCAGGCCCCACCCCUGUCCUAGCAAAACCUCAGACAUCUGGGAUCCUCAGCUACCACAACCCUUUGCGAUAGAAAAUUCCUGCUUUACUUCAGAAUGUAACAACCAGGGCCCCUACACCUCCACCCUCACAUCUAGCAGUCUCGGCGCCCAACUCCCGGCACUCAGGUCUUGCUCCCUGGCCUGCCUCUCCUGCACCCCGGGGCCCCGCUUUCCACACAGCCCUGCUCCUCCCGGCCUGGCUGGCUGCCUGCGGGCCUCUCAGAGUCCUUCACCCGUCUCUCCAGUCUCGGAUCCUGACCCGUGGAUCUCAGCCUCCAGCCCUGCUCUAGCCCCGGCCUUGCCCUCGGGCACGGCCCCUUUCCUCUUCAGCCCUGGGGUCCUGCUCCCUGAGCCCGAAUCCUGUCCUCCUUGGAGAUCCCCGAAGAAGGUGAGUCUGGACUGGAGGGAGAGGUCCCUCUGUUCCGCUUGCUACUGCUGCCAUUUUUGCUCUUCUCUGGGGGCACGUAGCCCCGGGGGUGCGGGUUGGGGGGGGAGAGGCAGGAAGGCCGGAGCCUGAGGCCCAGCACAUGAUACCUGCUCUUUCAGGAGUCUCCCAAGACCUCCCAGCUGUGGAGGGAGUCCAAGCCCAGGGGGAACUUGACAUACCACCAGUACAUGCCCCCAGAGCCCAGACAGAGAGCCAGGGCUGGCCCCCAAGCUGAGGGGUCCACCCUAGGUCCUCCGGGGCCACCUCUGUGGGAAGGGACAGACUCACAGCAGCCACAUCCUAGGUAUGACACCCAUUUCCCUUCUCCCGGGACCCAGAAAUCNNNNNNNNNNNNNNNNNNNNNNNNNGUUGUUAGCAGCAAAAUGUUUUAAAAUUUAGGUUUCAGGGCUGGGCACCAUGGUUCAUACCUGCAGUCCCAGCUACUCUGGAGGCGGAGAUAGGAGGAUCACUUGAGCCUGGGGGUUUGAGGUUGCAGUGAGCUAUGAUUGCACCAUUGCACUCCAGCCUGGGCAACAAGCGAGAUCCUUAAAAAAAA